RNAcentral lists this ribosomal RNA (440 nucleotides) under uncultured bacterium. RNAcentral's name for it is "partial 16S ribosomal RNA". It matches the Rfam family "Bacterial small subunit ribosomal RNA", at positions 338 to 795 of the family's 1533-position model. The record is from RNAcentral.
CCUACGGGAGGCAGCAGUGGGGAAUAUUGGACAAUGGGGGAAACCCUGAUCCAGCGACGCCGCGUGAGUGAAGAAGUAUUUCGGUACGUAAAGCUCUAUCAGCAGGAAAGAAAAUGACGGUACCUGACUCAGAAGCCCCGGCUAACUACGUGCCAGCAGCCGCGGUAAUACGUAGGGGGCAAGCGUUAUCCGGAUUUACUGGGUGUAAGGGGAGCGUAGACGGCAGCGCAAGUCUGGAGUGAAAUGCCGGGGCCCAACCCCGGAACUGCUCUGGAAACUGUGAAGCUGGAGUGCAGGAGUGGUAAGCGGAAUUCAUGGUGUAGCGGUGAAAUGCGUAGAGAUCAGGAGGAACACCGGCGGCGAAGGCGGCUUACUGGACUGUAACUGACGUUGAGGCUCGAAGGCGUGGGGAGCAAACAGGAUUAGAUACCCGUGUAGUC